Molecule: ribosomal RNA, 1862 nt
Filed under: Campylobacter coli
Lineage: Bacteria; Pseudomonadati; Campylobacterota; Epsilonproteobacteria; Campylobacterales; Campylobacteraceae
Description: partial 23S ribosomal RNA
Rfam family: Bacterial large subunit ribosomal RNA
Source: RNAcentral
AGGUAAGCUACUAAGAGCGAAUGGUGGAUGCCUUGACUGGUAAAGGCGAUGAAGGACGUACUAGACUGCGAUAAGCUACGGGGAGCUGUCAAGAAGCUUUGAUCCGUAGAUUUCCGAAUGGGGCAACCCAAUGUAUAGAGAUAUACAUUACCUAUAUAGGAGCGAACGAGGGGAAUUGAAACAUCUUAGUACCCUCAGGAAAAGAAAUCAAUAGAGAUUGCGUCAGUAGCGGUGAGCGAAAGCGCAAGAGGGCAAACCCAGUGCUUGCACUGGGGGUUGUAGGACUGCAAUGUGCAAGAGGUGAGUUUAGCAGAACAUUCUGGAAAGUAUAGCCAUAGAGGGUGAUAGUCCCGUAUGCGAAAAACAAACCUUAGCUAGCAGUAUCCUGAGUAGGGCGGGACACGAGAAAUCCUGUCUGAAGCUGGGUCGACCACGAUCCAACCCUAAAUACUAAUACCAGAUCGAUAGUGCACAAGUACCGUGAGGGAAAGGUGAAAAGAACUGAGGUGAUCAGAGUGAAAUAGAACCUGAAACCAUUUGCUUACAAUCAUUCAGAGCCCUAUGUAGCAAUACAGGGUGAUGGACUGCCUUUUGCAUAAUGAGCCUGCGAGUUGUGGUGUCUGGCAAGGUUAAGCAAACGCGAAGCCGUAGCGAAAGCGAGUCUGAAUAGGGCGCUUAGUCAGAUGCUGCAGACCCGAAACGAAGUGAUCUAUCCAUGAGCAAGUUGAAGCUAGUGUAAGAACUAGUGGAGGACUGAACCCAUAGGCGUUGAAAAGCCCCGGGAUGACUUGUGGAUAGGGGUGAAAGGCCAAUCAAACUUCGUGAUAGCUGGUUCUCUCCGAAAUAUAUUUAGGUAUAGCGUUGUGUCGUAAUAUAAGGGGGUAGAGCACUGAAUGGGCUAGGGCAUACACCAAUGUACCAAACCCUAUCAAACUCCGAAUACCUUAUAUGUAAUCACAGCAGUCAGGCGGCGAGUGAUAAAAUCCGUCGUCAAGAGGGAAACAACCCAGACUACCAGCUAAGGUCCCUAAAUCUUACUUAAGUGGAAAACGAUGUGAAGUUACUUAAACAACCAGGAGGUUGGCUUAGAAGCAGCCAUCCUUUAAAGAAAGCGUAAUAGCUCACUGGUCUAGUGAUUUUGCGCGGAAAAUAUAACGGGGCUAAAGUAAGUACCGAAGCUGUAGACUUGCGCACAACUUAGAUUAUUUAAGUUUAGAAUAUGAGAAACUAAGUUAUAUGUUUAGUUAUAUUUUUACUGAUUUUUAUAGAGUAAAGAUAGAAAUAAAACUUAGUAAAAUCAGUAAAAAUAUUCUUAGACUAAAGUUAAGUAGUUUAAGUUGUGUGCAAGUGGUAGGAGAGCGUUCUAUUUGCGUCGAAGGUAUACCGGUAAGGAGUGCUGGAGCGAAUAGAAGUGAGCAUGCAGGCAUGAGUAGCGAUAAUUAAUGUGAGAAUCAUUAACGCCGUAAACCCAAGGUUUCCUACGCGAUGCUCGUCAUCGUAGGGUUAGUCGGGUCCUAAGUCGAGUCCGAAAGGGGUAGACGAUGGCAAAUUGGUUAAUAUUCCAAUACCAACAUUAGUGUGCGAUGGAAGGACGCUUAGGGCUAAGGGGGCUAGCGGAUGGAAGUGCUAGUCUAAGGUCGUAGGAGGUUAUACAGGCAAAUCCGUAUAACAAUACUCCGAGAACUGAAAGGCUUUUUGAAGUCUUCGGAUGGAUAGAAGAACCCCUGAUGCCGUCGAGCCAAGAAAAGUUUCUAAGUUUAGCUAAUGUUGCCCGUACCGUAAACCGACACAGGUGGGUGGGAUGAGUAUUCUAAGGCGCGUGGAAGAACUCUCUUUAAGGAACUCUGCAAAAUAGCACCGUA